Molecule: ribosomal RNA, 253 nt
Filed under: uncultured bacterium
Lineage: Bacteria
Description: partial 16S ribosomal RNA
Rfam family: Bacterial small subunit ribosomal RNA
Source: RNAcentral
UACGGGGGGGGCAAGCGUUGUUCGGAAUUACUGGGCGUAAAGGGCUUGUAGGCGGCUUUGCAAGUCGGGUGUGAAAGCCCUCAGCUCAACUGAGGAAGUGCGCCCGAAACUGCAGAGCUUGAGUACCGGAGAGGGUGGCGGAAUUCCCCAAGUAGAGGUGAAAUUCGUAGAUAUGGGGAGGAACACCGGUGGCGAAGGCGGCCACCUGGACGGUCACUGACGCUGAGACGCGAAAGCGUGGGGAGCAAACAGG